Molecule: long non-coding RNA, 1178 nt
Organism: Sinocyclocheilus grahami
Lineage: Eukaryota; Metazoa; Chordata; Actinopteri; Cypriniformes; Cyprinidae
Exons: 3
Source: RefSeq, a predicted model, not a curated record
UAUAUUAUCUUAAUUAUGAACACACUGUUUUGUAUUGCGAACAGUUUUAUCGUUUAUUGCAUGUUGUUAUUCUUCACGUUAUUUCCAUAUAGCGGCUAAUGAACCGGAAGUCUCACACACCAGCUUACUUUCUCAUUGAAGAAUAAGGUGGAUAGGAGAUGACAAAUAAGACAAAUCCAUCCGUUUUAAUGAAACAUCAAAGAUCUAAUUGGUUGUUUUCUUUGAUCCAGGUAUUCAGAAACGGUAUCUUUGUGCCAACUUUGGUGAACAGGGCAUCACCGUUGGCUGCUGGGACACCUACAGACAUGACAUUGAUUGUCAGUGGAUCGAUAUCACAGAUGUGAAACCAGGAGACUAUAUUUUCCAGGUCGUAAUUAAUCCUAACUAUGACGUAGCCGAAUCAGAUUAUACCAACAAUUUCAUGAAGUGCAAGUGUCGCUAUGAUGGAUACAGGAUAUGGACGUACCACUGUCAUACAGGUGGCUCGCAGAGUUCAGACAUGGACGAAUACCCUGGAAUGAGCAAUCAGUUGCACUUCAGAUAGGAGCGGAUGAGGACAAAGGCUCUCAGUGGAGGACGCUGCGGGCUGUCACUCAAGACUAUUCAAAUAUGAUUGACCACUACAGAGACUCCAGCACUUCGAAGGCAGAGACCGCUGCUCUUUUAGGUUUGAAGUACAGCAUGUUCUUUCACGGUCCCCCGCUAUAUCAAGCUUGCUUUGAAUAGAAACUAUUUAAAUUUCUGAAAUGUACUGUACUUGCUGCAUUUUUGGUGCUUGAAAUGCUCGUUUGUUGGUUGUAGUGGUUACAAACCCAUGCUGUAACGUUCAUACUGGGAUCUUCGAUUCUUCCUGCAUUAUAACUUAAAUCACAAAGCCUGCCGUUUCAUGAACUCAACCCUAUUUCUGGCUGUUUAGACUCUUUUGUGGUUAAUUCAUCAAGCAUGUCAAGUAAUUUAUGUUCCGUCAGGGAUUAUGUUUUGUCAACUUUUGUGUAUGCAAUGUGAAUCUGUAACCAUUUGUUUUUUUGGCCAAUUUGUGAAGCAUCUACCCUCCGUUUUAUGAGGGUACUUAUGACCAGUUCAAUGGUUUUCAGAUAUGCAAUGUGUUUAUGACUGAACAACACGUUUGGUCAAACCAUUGCAUUGUUUUCUAUAAUAAAAGCAAUUCAUGUGUGUUA